This 488-nucleotide long non-coding RNA is filed under the name Helianthus annuus (common sunflower). Its description in RNAcentral is "sRNA HanXRQr2_Chr16g0754531". Lineage: Eukaryota; Viridiplantae; Streptophyta; Magnoliopsida; Asterales; Asteraceae. The record is from RNAcentral.
UUGCUCUCUAUCCUCCCACGGUAUUCUGUUGUUGAAGAUGUCGGCUCCGGCACCGGCACCAGCACCAGCACCUCCAGCUCCGUACGCCGGCGGUUCCCUCUGGCGGCUCAGCCGGAGAUGAUGAAAGCGGCGCACUCACACUUUAUUGCUGGUUUCUUGACAAGAGACUCAAGAAUCGUGGAAAGGAAGAAACCGACAUAAAUAAAGUCUGACAACGAACCUUAUACUGGAGAUUGAGAAGUUGAACUUAGUAAUCGUGGGGCUCGCUAUGGAAAAUGAUGAAGAAAAAGAAAGAUUAAAUGGAAUUAUUGCGGGGUUGUUGGCUGAAAAAGAAAAAUAUAAGGUUGAUAAAGAUGCUAUGCUCGAUAGGAUGUCACAAAUUGAAGCUAUGUUAACAAGUACAGUUCGAAGAUAAGCUAUAAACACUUGGUUUUGAAUGUUUCGAUGUUUAUCAUAUUAAGAUAUUUUAUUUAUUUAAUGUUUGAGUU